Molecule: ribosomal RNA, 677 nt
Filed under: uncultured marine group III euryarchaeote
Lineage: Archaea; Methanobacteriati; Thermoplasmatota; Thermoplasmata; Candidatus Thermoprofundales
Description: bacterial SSU rRNA
Rfam family: Archaeal small subunit ribosomal RNA
Source: RNAcentral
CCCUACGGGGUGCAGCAGGCGCGAAACCUCCACAAUUCACGAAAGUGAGAUGGGGUUACCUCGAGUGCCAUCUGAAGAAGGUGGCUUUUCCAUUGUGUAAUGAGCCGUGGGAAUAAGGGGGGGGGCAAGACUGGUGUCAGCCGCCGCGGUAACACCAGCCCCCCCGAGUGGUGGGGAUGAUUAUUUGGCCUAAAGCGUCCGUAGCCGGCUCUGUAAAUCUCUCGUUAAAUCCAGCGUCCUAAGCGUUGGACUGCGAGGGAAACUGCAGAGCUAGAGGGUGGGAGAGGUCAGCGGUAUUCCUGGGGUAGGGGCGAAAUCCAUUGAUCCCAGGAGGACCACCAGUGGCGAAGGCUGCUGACUAGAACACGCCUGACGGUGAGGGACGAAAGCUGGGGUAGCGAAUCGGAUUAGAUACCCGAGUAGUCCCAGCCGUAAACGAUGCAGGCUAGGUGUUGGGUUGGCCACGUGCCAGCUCAGUGCCACAGGGAAGCCAUUAAGCCUGCCGCCUGGGGAGUACGGCCGCAAGGCUGAAACUUAAAGGAAUUGGCGGGGGAGCACCACCAGGCGUGAAGCCUGCGGUUUAAUUGGAGUCAACGCCGGGAAUCUUAUCGGGAGCGACAGCAGAGUGAAAGCCACGUUGAAAGUCUUGCCCGACAACCUGAAAAAAAUGCCCUGGC